CUGAUAUGAAGAGCUUGCUCGGAUUUGAAGAUGAACAUUGCAAAGAGUGGCGAACGGGUGAGUAACACGUGGGAAACCUACCUCUUAGCGGGGGAUAACACUUGGAAACAAGUGCUAAUACCGCAUAAUACUGAUAACCGCAUGGUUAUCAGUUGAAAGAUGGUUCUGCUAUCACUAAGAGAUGGUCCCGCGGUGUAUUAGCUAGUUGGUAAGGUAAUGGCUUACCAAGGCAAUGAUACAUAGCCGAGUUGAGAGACUGAUCGGCCACAAUGGGACUGAGACACGGCCCAUACUCCUACGGGAGGCAGCAGUAGGGAAUCUUCCACAAUGGACGAAAGUCUGAUGGAGCAACGCCGCGUGUGUGAUGAAGGGUUUCGGCUCGUAAAACACUGUUGUAAGAGAAGAAUGACAUUGAGAGUAACUGUUCAGUGUGUGACGGUAUCUUACCAGAAAGGAACGGCUAAAUACGUGCCAGCAGCCGCGGUAAUACGUAUGUUCCAAGCGUUAUCCGGAUUUAUUGGGCGUAAAGCGAGCGCAGACGGUUGUUUAAGUCUGAAGUGAAAGCCCACAGCUUAACUGUGGAAGUGCUUUGGAAACUGGAUAACUUGAGUGCAGUAGAGGAGAGUGGAACUCCAUGGG
Molecule: ribosomal RNA, 639 nt
Filed under: Weissella minor
Lineage: Bacteria; Bacillati; Bacillota; Bacilli; Lactobacillales; Lactobacillaceae
Description: bacterial SSU rRNA
Rfam family: Bacterial small subunit ribosomal RNA
Source: RNAcentral